GAUGAACGCUGGCGGCGUGCCUAAUACAUGCAAGUCGAGCGAACAGACGAGGAGCUUGCUCCUCUGACGUUAGCGGCGGACGGGUGAGUAACACGUGGAUAACCUACCUAUAAGACUGGGAUAACUUCGGGAAACCGGAGCUAAUACCGGAUAAUAUAUUGAACCGCAUGGUUCAAUAGUGAAAGACGGUUUUGCUGUCACCUAUAGAUGGAUCCGCGCCGCAUUAGCUAGUUGGUAAGGUAACGGCUUACCAAGGCAACGAUGCGUAGCCGACCUGAGAGGGUGAUCGGCCACACUGGAACCGAGACACGGUCCAGACUCCUACGGGAGGCAGCAGUAGGGAAUCUUCCGCAAUGGGCGAAAGCCUGACGGAGCAACGCCGCGUGAGUGAUGAAGGUCUUCGGAUCGUAAAACUCUGUUAUUAGGGAAGAACAAAUGUGUAAGUAACUAUGCACGUCUUGACGGUACCUAAUCAGAAAGCCACGGCUAACUACGUG
RNAcentral lists this ribosomal RNA (497 nucleotides) under uncultured bacterium. Its description in RNAcentral is "partial 16S ribosomal RNA". It matches the Rfam family "Bacterial small subunit ribosomal RNA", at positions 28 to 507 of the family's 1533-position model. The record is from RNAcentral.